UUUUGGAGUGAUAUAUCAGGUGGCGGAAGCCAAGAUCCAUCUACACAAUUAUCUUAUGUCAUACAUAACCCAGCCUUCAGAUAUUUUCAGAUGAUAUUAGCACAUUCCUUCUUGGGAAGACAUGAUGCAGAGACACUACUGAGUGAAGAGGAGAUCUUCCUAUUAUUUUGCGCAUCCCAGUCUCGCCCAGUAGCAUGUGGGAACUUUUU
Molecule: long non-coding RNA, 209 nt
Filed under: Lathyrus oleraceus (garden pea)
Lineage: Eukaryota; Viridiplantae; Streptophyta; Magnoliopsida; Fabales; Fabaceae
Description: Pisum sativum (pea) long non-coding RNA (PSAT_LNC026834)
Source: RNAcentral